This 497-nucleotide ribosomal RNA is filed under the name uncultured bacterium. RNAcentral describes it as "partial 16S ribosomal RNA". It matches the Rfam family "Bacterial small subunit ribosomal RNA", at positions 28 to 507 of the family's 1533-position model. The record is from RNAcentral.
GAUGAACGCUGGCGGCGUGCCUAAUACAUGCAAGUCGAGCGAACAGACGAGGAGCUUGCUCCUCUGACGUUAGCGGCGGACGGGCGAGUAACACGUGGAUAACCUACCUAUAAGACUGGGAUAACUUCGGGAAACCGGAGCUAAUACCGGAUAAUAUAUUGAACCGCAUGGUUCAAUAGUGAAAGACGGUUUUGCUGUCACUUAUAGAUGGAUCCGCGCCGCAUUAGCUAGUUGGUAAGGUAACGGCUUACCAAGGCAACGAUGCGUAGCCGACCUGAGAGGGUGAUCGGCCACACCGGAACUGAGACACGGUCCAGACUCCUACGGGAGGCAGCAGUAGGGAAUCUUCCGCAAUGGGCGAAAGCUUGACGGAGCAACGCCGCGUGAGUGAUGAAGGUCUUCGGAUCGUAAAACUCUGUUAUUAGGGAAGAACAAAUGUGUAAGUAACUAUGCACGUCUUGACGGUACCUAAUCAGAAAGCCACGGCUAACUACGUG